GACGAACGCUGGCGGCGUGCCUAAUACAUGCAAGUAGAACGCUGAAGGAGGAGCUUGCUUCUCUGGAUGAGUUGCGAACGGGUGAGUAACGCGUAGGUAACCUGCCUGGUAGCGGGGGAUAACUAUUGGAAACGAUAGCUAAUACCGCAUAAUAGUAGAUGUUGCAUGACAUUUGCCUAAAAGGUGCAAUUGCAUCACUACCAGAUGGACCUGCGUUGUAUUAGCUAGUUGGUGGGGUAACGGCUCACCAAGGCGACGAUACAUAGCCGACCUGAGAGGGUUAUCUGCCACACUGGGAAUGAGACACGGCCCAGACUCCUACGGGAGGCAGCAGUAGGGAAGCUUCGGCAAUGGACGGAAGGCUGACCGAGCAACGCCGCGGGAGUGAAGAAGGUUUUCGGAUCGUAAAGCUCUGUUGUAAGAGAAGAACGAGUGUGAGAGUGGAAAGUUCACACUGUGACGGUAUCUUACCAGAAAGGGACGGCUAACUACGUG
Molecule: ribosomal RNA, 495 nt
Filed under: uncultured bacterium
Lineage: Bacteria
Description: partial 16S ribosomal RNA
Rfam family: Bacterial small subunit ribosomal RNA
Source: RNAcentral